AUUGAACGCUGGCGGCAGGCCUAACACAUGCAAGUCGAACGGUAACAGGAAGCAGCUUGCUGCUUCGCUGACGAGUGGCGGACGGGUGAGUAAUGUCUGGGAAACUGCCUGAUGGAGGGGGAUAACUACUGGAAACGGUAGCUAAUACCGCAUAACGUCGCAAGACCAAAGAGGGGGACCUUAGGGCCUCUUGCCAUUGGAUGUGCCCAGAUGGGAUUAGCUAGUAGGUGGGGUAACGGCUCACCUAGGCGACGAUCCCUAGCUGGUCUGAGAGGAUGACCAGCCACACUGGAACUGAGACACGGUCCAGACUCCUACGGGAGGCAGCAGUGGGGAAUAUUGCACAAUGGGCGCAAGCCUGAUGCAGCCAUGCCGCGUGUAUGAAGAAGGCCUUCGGGUUGUAAAGUACUUUCAGCGGGGAGGAAGGGAGUAAAGUUAAUACCUUUGCUCAUUGACGUUACCCGCAGAAGAAGCGCCGGCUAACUCCGUG
This 490-nucleotide ribosomal RNA is filed under the name uncultured bacterium. Its description in RNAcentral is "partial 16S ribosomal RNA". It matches the Rfam family "Bacterial small subunit ribosomal RNA", at positions 30 to 507 of the family's 1533-position model. The record is from RNAcentral.